RNAcentral lists this ribosomal RNA (729 nucleotides) under uncultured Lachnospiraceae bacterium. RNAcentral describes it as "bacterial SSU rRNA". It matches the Rfam family "Bacterial small subunit ribosomal RNA", at positions 33 to 759 of the family's 1533-position model. The record is from RNAcentral. Lineage: Bacteria; Bacillati; Bacillota; Clostridia; Lachnospirales; Lachnospiraceae.
ACGCUGGCGGCGUGCCUAACACAUGCAAGUCGAACGGAACUGUUUUGAAAGAUUUCUUCGGAAUGAAUUUGAUUUAGUUUAGUGGCGGACGGGUGAGUAACGCGUGAGUAACCUGCCUUCAAGAGGGGGAUAACAUUCUGAAAAGAAUGCUAAUACCGCAUGAUAUAUCGGAACCACAUGAUUUUGAUAUCAAAGAUUUUAUCGCCUGAAGAUGGACUCGCGUCCGAUUAGUUAGUUGGUGAGGUAACGGCUCACCAAGACCGCGAUCGGUAGCCGGACUGAGAGGUUGAACGGCCACAUUGGGACUGAGACACGGCCCAGACUCCUACGGGAGGCAGCAGUGGGGGAUAUUGCGCAAUGGGGGCAACCCUGACGCAGCAACGCCGCGUGAAGGAUGAAGGUUUUCGGAUUGUAAACUUCUUUUAUUAAGGACGAAAAAUGACGGUACUUAAUGAAUAAGCUCCGGCUAACUACGUGCCAGCAGCCGCGGUAAUACGUAGGGAGCAAGCGUUGUCCGGAUUUACUGGGUGUAAAGGGUGCGUAGGCGGCUUCGCAAGUCAGAUGUGAAACCUUUGGGCUCAACCCAUAAACUGCAUUUGAAACUGUAGAGCUUGAGUGAAGUAGAGGCAGGCGGAAUUCCCCGUGUAGCGGUGAAAUGCGUAGAGAUGGGGAGGAACACCAGUGGCGAAGGCGGCCUGCUGGGCUUUAACUGACGCUGAGGCUCGAAAG